GAUGAACGCUGACAGCAUGCUUAACACAUGCAAGUCAACUUGAACUUCGGUUUGGGUGGCGGACGGGUGAGUAACGCGUAAAGAACUUGCCUCACAGCUAGGGACAACAUUUGGAAACGUAUGCUAAUACCUGAUAUUAUGAUUAUAUGGCAUCGUAUAAUUAUGAAAGCUAUCUGCGCUGUGAGAGAGCUUUGCGUCCCAUUAGCUAGUUGGAGAGGUAACAGCCCACCAAGGCGAUGAUGGGUAGCCGGCCUGAGAGGGUGAUCGGCCACACGGGGACUGAGAGACGGCCCGUACACCUACGGGAGGCAGCAGGGGGUAAGAAAUAACAAAGGACCGACAGUCUGAUGCAGCAAUUCUGUGUGCACGAUGAAGUAUUUCGGAAUGUAAAGAGCUUUCAGUUGGGAAGAAAAAAAUGACGGUACCAACAGAAGAAGUGACGGCUAAAUACGUG
Molecule: ribosomal RNA, 454 nt
Filed under: uncultured bacterium
Lineage: Bacteria
Description: partial 16S ribosomal RNA
Rfam family: Bacterial small subunit ribosomal RNA
Source: RNAcentral